UUACAAAGGACGACAUUAGACGAAUCAUCUGGAAAGAUGAAUCAAAGAAGGUAAUAAUCCUGUAGUCGAAAAUGUUGUCUCUCUUGAGUGGAUCCUGAGUACGACGGAACAUGUGAAAUUCCGUCGGAAUCUGGGAGGACCAUCUCCUAAGGCUAAAUACUCUCUAGUGACCGAUAGUGAACCAGUACCGUGAGGGAAAGGUGAAAAGCACCCCGGAAGGGGAGUGAAAUAGAACCUGAAACCGUGUGCUUACAAGUAGUCAGAGCCCGUUAAUGGGUGAUGGCGUGCCUUUUGUAGAAUGAACCGGCGAGUUACGAUUUGAUGCAAGGUUAAGCAGUAAAUGUGGAGCCGUAGCGAAAGCGAGUCUGAAUAGGGCGUUUAGUAUUUGGUCGUAGACCCGAAACCAGGUGAUCUACCCUUGGUCAGGUUGAAGUUCAGGUAACACUGAAUGGAGGACCGAACCGACUUACGUUGAAAAGUGAGCGGAUGAACUGAGGGUAGCGGAGAAAUUCCAAUCGAACCUGGAGAUAGCUGGUUCUCUCCGAAAUAGCUUUAGGGCUAGCCUCAAGUGAUGAUUAUUGGAGGUAGAGCACUGUUUGGACGAGGGGCCCCUCUCGGGUUACCGAAUUCAGACAAACUCCGAAUGCCAAUUAAUUUAACUUGGGAGUCAGAACAUGGGUGAUAAGGUCCGUGUUCGAAAGGGAAACAGCCCAGACCACCAGCUAAGGUCCCAAAAUAUAUGUUAAGUGGAAAAGGAUGUGGCGUUGCCCAGACAACUAGGAUGUUGGCUUAGAAGCAGCCAUCAUUUAAAGAGUGCGUAAUAGCUCACUAGUCGAGUGACACUGCGCCGAAAAUGUACCGGGGCUAAACAUAUUACCGAAGCUGUGGAUUGUCCUUUGGACAAUGGUAGGAGAGCGUUCUAAGGGCGUUGAAGCAUGAUCGUAAGGACAUGUGGAGCGCUUAGAAGUGAGAAUGCCGGUGUGAGUAGCGAAAGACGGGUGAGAAUCCCGUCCACCGAUUGACUAAGGUUUCCAGAGGAAGGCUCGUCCGCUCUGGGUUAGUCGGGUCCUAAGCUGAGGCCGACAGGCGUAGGCGAUGGAUAACAGGUUGAUAUUCCUGUACCACCUAUAAUCGUUUUA
RNAcentral lists this ribosomal RNA (1139 nucleotides) under Staphylococcus aureus. RNAcentral's name for it is "partial 23S ribosomal RNA". It matches the Rfam family "Bacterial large subunit ribosomal RNA", at positions 314 to 1461 of the family's 2925-position model. Lineage: Bacteria; Bacillati; Bacillota; Bacilli; Caryophanales; Staphylococcaceae. The record is from RNAcentral.